AGAAUAGAUUUAGCAAUAUUUAUUUUAUUAUUAUGUAUUAAUUUUAUCUCUAUUUAAAAUUUAUAAUACUUUUUUAUUAAGAUUUUUUUGGGUUUAGAGUUUAUUCAAAAUAACUAACAAUUCUUUAAAUAAGAACAAAACUUAUCUAUACCUCUAUACUGCUAUAUUUAUUUAUUUAUUUAUACAUUAUUUUUCAUACAGUUUAUCACAUGGCAAUUUCUCUUUCACCCUCUUUCAACUUCACCCUCUUUCUACUUCUUAAUAUUUCGCCUUCUCAUCCUUAUAUCUGUAAGAUAAUGUAUCAUAUGAUCCAUUUUUAUAUAAACAAAUUAUUUUUAAAAAAAUAAAACAAAAUCUCUUCAUAUUCCUUUUUAUAACAAUUUUUUUUUAAACUUUAUUUGUGCACAAUAAGGGUUAAUUUUUUGUAUUUUUUAAUUUUUUUUAAAAAAAAAUAUUGUGUAGAGAUUGAAACUAGGGUUUCGAGAAUCGUGGUGGCGCGGCAAGGUGAAGUACGAUGGAUUUGGAGUCGAUGAGGGGGAAGGAGCGGUGGGUGUGGGGGGAUUCAUACGGAGUCGACGUGACGGUGACCAAAGAGAAGCUCGAG
This 604-nucleotide long non-coding RNA is filed under the name Ananas comosus (pineapple). RNAcentral describes it as "long non-coding RNA (ACOM_LNC017199)". The record is from RNAcentral. Lineage: Eukaryota; Viridiplantae; Streptophyta; Magnoliopsida; Poales; Bromeliaceae.